This 492-nucleotide ribosomal RNA is filed under the name uncultured bacterium. RNAcentral's name for it is "partial 16S ribosomal RNA". It matches the Rfam family "Bacterial small subunit ribosomal RNA", at positions 29 to 507 of the family's 1533-position model. The record is from RNAcentral.
AGUGAACGCUGGCGGUAGGCCUAACACAUGCAAGUCGAACGGCAGCACAGUAAGAGCUUGCUCUUACGGGUGGCGAGUGGCGGACGGGUGAGGAAUACACCGGAAUCUACUUUUUCGUGGGGGAUAACGUAGGGAAACUUACGCUAAUACCGCAUACGACCUACGGGUGAAAGCAGGGGAUCUUCGGACCUUGCGCGAUUGAAUGAGCCGAUGUCGGAUUAGCUAGUUGGCGGGGUAAAGGCCCACCAAGGCGACGAUCCGUAGCUGGUCUGAGAGGAUGAUCAGCCACGCUGGAACUGAGACACGGUCCAGACUCCUACGGGAGGCAGCAGUGGGGAAUAUUGGACAAUGGGCGCAAGCCUGAUCCAGCCAUACCGCGUGGGUGAAGAAGGCCUUCGGGUUGUAAAGCCCUUUUGUUGGGAAAGAAAAGCAGCAGGUUAAUACCCCGCUGUUCUGACGGUACCCAAAGAAUAAGCACCGGCUAACUUCGUG